GGGCGAAAGCCUGAUGGAACAACGCCGCGUGAGUGAAGAAGGAUUUCGGUUCGUAAAACUCUGUUGUAAGGGAAGAACAAGUACAGUAGUAACUGGCUGUACCUUGACGGUACCUUAUUAGAAAGCCACGGCUAACUACGUGCCAGCAGCCGCGGUAAUACGUAGGUGGCAAGCGUUGUCCGGAAUUAUUGGGCGUAAAGCGCGCGCAGGUGGUUUCUUAAGUCUGAUGUGAAAGCCCACGGCUCAACCGUGGAGGGUCAUUGGAAACUGGGAGACUUGAGUGCAGAAGAGGAUAGUGGAAUUCCAAGUGUAGCGGUGAAAUGCGUAGAGAUUUGGAGGAACACCAGUGGCGAAGGCGACUAUCUGGUCUGUAACUGACACUGAGGCGCGAAAGCGUGGGGAGCAAACAGGAUUAGAUACCCUGGUAGUCCACGCCGUAAACGAUGAGUGCUAAGUGUUAGGGGGUUUCCGCCCCUUAGUGCUGCAGCUAACGCAUUAAGCACUCCACCUGGGGAGUACGGUCGCAAGACUGAAACU
Molecule: ribosomal RNA, 537 nt
Filed under: uncultured bacterium
Lineage: Bacteria
Description: bacterial SSU rRNA
Rfam family: Bacterial small subunit ribosomal RNA
Source: RNAcentral